This is a long non-coding RNA of Oncorhynchus masou masou (cherry salmon), 2679 nucleotides long. RefSeq lists it as uncharacterized. The record is from RefSeq and is a predicted model, not a curated record. The transcript is spliced from 3 exons. NCBI's taxonomy places the organism in Eukaryota, Metazoa, Chordata, Actinopteri, Salmoniformes, Salmonidae.
GAAUUCAUAGCGAUUUCAGGACGUGCAGAAAUAUCAAAAUGUCUGUGUUUGUAGCCAGCACUUCCCGCCAGAGGAUUUCGAAACUGAUGGGGUUUCCAGGUGGUCGGACGUUAAAGUGAUGCUAUUCCAUUGAUUUGCCCUUUCACUUCAAAGGGGAAGGCUUGCGAUCAGUCAACGUCAAUCAGUGCAGCAGAAAAGAAGUCAAGCUGAGAGUCCGAGCCCAUCUGCAGCAGCAUCAAGCUCAGCACCAGGAACUAUUUUAAUAACCCUGCUACUGAUGACGAUGGACUUAACACCAGCUUUAGUAGUACAGAGCCCAUUGGAUGAAAGCUUUCAGCCGGGAACAAGCUCAACAUCAUCUGACUCGGAAACAAGCCAGGACGGCCAAAGGCAUUUAUGAAAGCACAAAUACCCUCUUGAGAAAACAACAUCACCAAUACACUAAACUGUCUACAAGCCAAGUGCUCCUUAAACUUGUCACACCCUUGUAGUCAGUUCUUUGAGAGGAGUUGUUAGUCUAUACUCUUCUAGCCUAUUCACUCCAUUGUUGGAAGUGAUUGUCUACUCAACAGCACAACUGUGGGUGCUCAUACACAACUAGACUGUCUACAUGUCAAGCCCCCCCGCUCAAACAUUUCACAUGUUAGCAUCCCAUCUCAAAGCCCCAUUAUUGACUCUGAGUGUAACAAAACACAUACCAGUCUACUGUUCCAUGUUUUGUUUACAGAUUAACAUGGUUUAUUUUAUGAUUAUACAUCCUCAUGAUCAGUCGUCAUGUCUUUCCAGGAUACUUACAGUACAAACAAUUAUUCUGCAAGAGGUCAAAGAAGUGGGUGGUGAAGAAAGUGCAGAAGCCCAGAACCCACCACUUCAGGGAGACGCUUAUCCACCUGGUUGUAGAGUGCAGAAAAUAACAGACUGUUGUCAACAAGAAGCCAGACUCACAGCUCCCCAAACCCUGCCAACAUUGCCACAGCGCCAAAGCCUGCUAAACCAGCUGACAUUACCCAACAGUAGAAGAGGUGCACCAGCUGAAGAACAUUCUGGAACCUGCCUGGAACAUUCAACCAACACCCAUAUUCAGUUAGACUGAUGUUUUAGUAUAAUAUAGAAUACCUAGUAUGUUCAACUGCAUUGUAGUACAUAAAUUGCUGCCUCUCAAAAGUUUGUACACACCUACACAUUUUCGACAUUGUAGAAUAAUUGUGAAGACAUAAAACAUGGAAAUAUGUAGUAACCAAAAAAGCGUUUAAAAAAAUCCAAAUAUAUUAUACAUUUGAGAUUCUUCAAAGUAGCCACCCUUUGCCUUGAUGACAGCUUUGCACACUCUUGGCAUUCUCUCAACCAGCUUCAUGAAGAAUGCUUUUCCAACUGUCUUGAUGGAGUUCCCACAUAUGCUGAGCACUUGUUGGCUGCAUUUUCUUCACUCUGCGGUCCAACUCAUCCCAAACCAUCUCAAUUGGGUUGAGGUCGGGUGAUUGUGGAGGCCAGGUCAUCUGAUGCAGCACUCCAUCACUCUCCUUGGUCAAAUAGCCCUACACAGCCUGAGCGCAAAACAGAUGGGAUGGCAUAUCGCUGCAAAAUGCUGUGGUAGCCAUGCUGGUUAAGUGUGCCUUGAAUUCUAAAUAAAUCACAGACCGUGUCACCAGCAAAGCACCACCACACCUCCUCCUUCACGCUUCACGGUGGGAACUACACAUACUACUACAUGAGGUAGUCACCUGGAAUGCAUUUCAAUUAACAGGUGUGCCUUGUUAAAAGUUAAUUUAUGGAAUUUCUUAAUGUGUUUGAUACAGUUGUGUUGUGACAAGGUAGGGGAGGUAUACAGAAGAUAGCCCUAUUUGGUAAAAGAACAAGUCCAUAUGGCAAAGAACAGCUGAAAUAAGCAAAGAGAAACAACAGUCCAUUACUUUAAGACAUGAAGGUCAGUCAAUCUGGAACAUUUCAAGAACUUUGAACGUUUCUUCAAGUGUAGUUGCAAAAACCUUCAAGCGCUGUGAUGAAACUGGCUCUCGUGAGGAAAGGAAUGGAAGACCCAGAGUUACCUCUGCUGCAGUGGAUAAGUUCAUUAGAGUUACCAGCCUCAGAAAUCGCAGCCCAAAUAAAUACUUCCCAGAGUUCCUGUAACAGACACAUCUCAACAUCAACUGUUCAGAGGAGACUGUGAAUCAGGCCUUCAUGGUCGAAUUGCUGCAAAGAAACCAGUACUAAAGGACACCAAUAAGUAGAAGAUACUUGUUUGGGCUAAGAAAUACAAGCAAUGGACAUUAGACCUAUUGAGAUCUGUCCUUUUGGUCUGAUGAGUCCAGAUUUGAGAUUGUUCCAACCUCUUGUGUCUUUGUGAGAUGAGUAGGUGAAUGGAUAAUCUCUGCAUGUGUGGUUCCCCACCUUGAAGCAUGGAGGUGUGGUGGUGCUUUGUUGGUGACACGGUCUGUAAUUUAUUUAGAAUUCAAGGCACACUUAACCAGCAUAGCUACCACAGCAUUUUGCAGCAAUAUGUCAUUCCAUCUGGUUUGCUCUUAGUGGGACUAUCAUUUGUUUUUCAACAGGACAAUGACCCAACACACCUUCAGGCUGUGUAAGGCUAUUUGACCAAGAAGGAGAGUGAUGGAGUGCUGUAUCAGAUGACCUGGCCUUCACAAUCACCCGACCUCAACCCAAUUGAGAUGUUUUGGGAUG